GGUGAGUUGGCCGAGCGGUUGAAGGCGCACGUUUGGAGUACGUGUUUCCGUUUAUACGGGACUAGGGUUCGAAUCCCUAACUCACCG
Molecule: transfer RNA, 87 nt
Filed under: bacterium
Lineage: Bacteria
Description: tRNA-Ser
Rfam family: tRNA
About the family: Transfer RNA (tRNA) molecules are approximately 80 nucleotides in length.
Source: RNAcentral